Molecule: ribosomal RNA, 625 nt
Filed under: Hoplobatrachus occipitalis (groove-crowned bullfrog)
Lineage: Eukaryota; Metazoa; Chordata; Amphibia; Anura; Dicroglossidae
Description: partial 16S ribosomal RNA
Rfam family: Bacterial large subunit ribosomal RNA
Source: RNAcentral
CGAGGCAUUAGUUUGACCCCCCGAAACUAGGUGAGCUACUUUUAAACAGCUUUAUGGAGCCAACCCGUCUCUGUUGCAAAAGAGUGGGAAGAUUUUCAAGUAGAGGUGAAAAGCCUAACGAACCUAGAGAUAGCUGGUUGUUCAGGAAAAGAAUUUUAGUUCUCCCUUAAGCUAUAUUAUGACCUAAAACAGUCCCCUAAGCUUAAGAGCUAUUCAAAUAAGGCACAGCUUAUUUGAAAAAGAACUCAGUCUCCAACCAAGGGUAAGUAACAUUGCUUGUGCUAAGUGGGCCUGAAAGCAGCCACCUUUAAAAAAGCGUUAAAGCUUCUCACUUCCCUCCGACCUCAAUACCAACUUUUUUCACGAACCCUUUUUUAGUACUGAACAACCCUAUAAAUUAUAGGAGAUAUAAUGCUAAAACUAGUAACAAGAAAUAGAUUUUUCUCCAAAAUGUAAGUGUAAGCCAAAACGGACCAACCACUGGCCAUUAUCGCAUCUGAGCCCUGAAUAGCAACCUUUUCUAGAAAAGCCUAUUACCCUCAAGCGUUAACCUAACACAAGAGCAUUCCUGGAAAGAUUGAAAGAGAAAGAAGGAAUUCGGCAAAUCAUCAGCCCGCCUGUUUAC